RNAcentral lists this ribosomal RNA (253 nucleotides) under uncultured bacterium. RNAcentral describes it as "partial 16S ribosomal RNA". It matches the Rfam family "Bacterial small subunit ribosomal RNA", at positions 524 to 776 of the family's 1533-position model. The record is from RNAcentral.
GACGAACCGUGCGAACGUUGUUCGGAAUCACUGGGCUUAAAGGGCGCGUAGGCGGGUCGGCAAGUCCGGGGUGAAAUCCUCCAGCUCAACUGGAGAAGUGCCUUGGAUACUGCCGGUCUCGAGGGAGGCAGGGGUCUGUGGAACUUCUGGUGGAGCGGUGAAAUGCGUUGAUAUCAGAAGGAACGCCGGUGGCGAAAGCGACGGACUGGUCCUCUUCUGACGCUGAGGCGCGAAAGCUAGGGGAGCAAACGGG